GCUCUGUCCUGCUUGUCUUUCUCAGCUUUUGCUUUGUGCAAUCAGGGGAGGAACCCCACGCAGGGGAACGGUUAGUGGCUUUGGGGUCUCUUUGGUGGCCCUGUUUGAAGGAGGAGGCAGGCCAAGGGUGCAGGGUCAGGCCCAGGGGCAGAAAGGGAUGAGGCGAUGACCACAGUCGGGGAUCCAGGCCCGGCAAGCGGCAGAGGUGCCGGAGAGGACCAGCCGCCGGGCAGAGAUCGAAGCAGAAAAACAUUUAUGGCCGCGCGCCCGAAAGCGGGGAGCAAGGCCGGGGCUCUGGUAGCCCUGGGAAGGUUGCCUUCCUGAGGUCUUUAAAAAAGAGGAGAGAGAGCGAGAGAGAGAGAGAGAAGGGAGGGGUUGGGGCGCCUUGAAUUUUCCUUCCCGGGCUUGGAGCGCAGCGCAUUUCUGUAAAGGAAGAGAAGAGCACCGCCCUGGAUCUUUCCACGUCCGCCUCAUUCUAUCCAGGCCUCUCCCCUUGCCCGAGCUCUCAGCCGCCACCAGGAGACUGACACGGAAGGGGCUUCUGGGCCGCCCCCCACCAACUCCUGCCUGGUUUCCCAAACUUCAGCGACCUCCAGCCCUCUUUGGGUGGAAAAUAGCAGGGCCCAGGCACCUCUUCUUCUUGUCAUUUGUGACCCGUGCUCUCAUCAGGAAUAUCUUACAAAGAAGGAGAGGAAGAAAGGCUGGCUAGAGCCCUGUUUAUAUCUAGUUCUGCAGAUCCCUUCACAUCUGGAGAGUUUAUUUAUAACUCCCACUAUAACUCUCUCUGUUUGGAGGCACUGGUGGCUCUAUUGACAGACUGAUGUCUAGAAAAUAUUGCUCUAUCUCUAACCAUAUCUAAAUGUGCUGCGGUUGUAUGUACAGAUUUAUGCUCGAGGGAAAUAUAAUUAUUUCCAUUGUAUUUGUGCAUAUACAAUAGUUAUAGGAGCAGAUUUAUAUAUGGGAAAAUAUAUGACUCUCUUAUAGCCAUCCAGCUUUAUGGACAUUUGAUAUCCUGACAGAUUUAUAGCUCUGAGCAGCUAUAUAGAUAAAUGCAUAUCGUGGAAAUUAUGUAUCAGGAGAUAUAUACUUAUUGAUUGUGAUAUAGAGUAGUUAGAGCAUUCACUUAGCGCCCUAUAUGGCUAUGGAGUUGUUUCUAUAUUAUUAUCACUAUAUAUAGGCAUAUCUAUUUAUAAUGACAUAGUUAUAAAAAUAGACAUAAGUAAUUAUAGUCCUAUAUGUACAUGCUGCUAUCUUGCUAGAGUUAUAGACCCUUGUGCGUAUAACUCUGUAGGGAUAUCUGUAUGUAUAUAAGGGUGUAAUUAUCUCAUGAUGUGUGUGUCCUGGGGCUUAGGCCAGUCUGUCUCUGUUCAGGCAUAUUUAUAUGCAGGGGCUGGGAGAGACUUGUUCACGGAAAUGUUUUCAGAGGGCCACCUCAGAGGCUGUAUCUGGCCAUCUAGGAAACCAGAGUUCUUUGCUUCACGGAGGGCUGGAGUUACCAAGGGGUGAACAGAGCCUAGGAAGCCUCCCGGGAGAGGAGGCAGAAGGUAGGAGAUGGGGACCGGGAACAGAUAGUUAAGGGGGAAAGAGGUGAAAAACGUGGGGACCGCAGAAGGCAGAACCGGUUUUGUGAGAGGCUGCAGCUUAAGGAAGGGGAGGCAGUGAAAGUCUGAGAACCCAGAUACACUCUCCACCCUCCACCGAGGGAGAGGGCAGACCUUAAAGGGCCUUCAGUGUGGCGUUUAGGACACCACAAGUCAGCUCUGGCCUAUCCUACGCCUGGUGCAAUUUCUCUUGAACCCUAAUCUUGGGAUCUCAAAGGGUGAGCUUUAGGGGUGAAGAAACAUAGGAGGGACAGGGCAGGAAGAGGGGGGCACUUUCACCACCUCUGCUCUCUGGUAACAGGGCCAGGAAAUCAGGGUAACAUGACCCUACAAAGCUUGUUUUCGCCUGGGCUUCCUGUGCCCCCAGAAAGUCUGGUGGAUUCAGGGGUGAAUUUUCCAGUAUGGGGCCUAUUCUGAUGGGAGUUUGGGGAGAACCCCCCCUUCUCUUCUCGGAGGCCCGGGCUUCGAGGGUCUAAUUCUGCGACUGGGCCACUUCCUCUCUGUUGUUUCCCAAAUUGGGGUUUCCUGGAAGCCCCCUCCAGCUCCCUAAAUGCCCUGCCUUGGGCUUUUAGGGGAGAAUUGGACCUUAAUGAGCAAGAAUGUGAACCUGAACCUCUAUCCCGCACUCCUCCCACUCCCAUCAACUGGCUGUCCUGCUAGCCCCCUUCCAGGCGCCACUGAGUCCAGGCUCCACAACUGUCUCCAGCCAUCAGCUACCUCCCCCCCCCCCCCCCCCCCCCCCCCGGGGGGGGGGACUAGGAUGCAGGGGGAGAGGAGACACCCUCAACCCCAUUUCUUUUUUUCUUUUUCUUUUUUUUUUUUAACCAGGGAGUCACAGGCAUCUUUGCUGAACAUUUUGCCAAGAGUUUCUCUGCUCUUAGUUUCAGAGGCCAGCUGGGCUUCCAGGAUCUCUGGGAUGCGGGAAAGGGAGUAGAGACCCCUCGGCUGGGGUUAAAAGCCAAACGCCAGCCCCCAUACAACUCUGCUCUCUGGAUUGGAGUGCCAGGGCAGGGACUCUAUCUGCUGCCUGGCACAGAGGAGUUGCCCAAUACAUACUUGUUGCAGGAAACUGAGUGGCAAUCAAUGCAAAAGCUUUUGGCAGAGGGAGCCUCACCCUUCAUGGCCUGCCCAGGCUAGCAGGCAUCUGAGUACCCAGGCUGGAGCUGGGCAGGGGGAUCGCGUGGCUGGUGGCUGCAGACAGCUCUGGUAGGAGAGUAGCCUGAGCCCAGAGGUGGGGGGUUAGAGGAUGGAGCCAGGAAAUGGGGGAGGGGGCAAAGCAGGCUCAGUUCCCCACCCUCAGUCUCCAGGCUCCCCAGACUCCCAAGGAUAGGAAAACUAAACCAGAGCGGAGCCCUGGGAUGGGAUGGAGUUGCCUGUGGGCCUGAGGGGCUCAAAGAGGAAGCACCACUUGAUCCAUUAAGAAAUACACAGAUGAAACAAACAUAAAUCAGCGGAGGCAGCCAGCCUGGCUAAAGAAAGGCCUCUGUGCCUGAGCCCUGUUCUGGGGAUGCUACCAAACUGAUCAGAAUUCAUGUUUAGGGAAAGAAAAAAAUUUUUUUUGGUUCAGCCCUCUGCAUGCAGAAGUUCCCAGGCCAAGGAUCAAACCCAUCACUGGACCCUUAACCCAGUGAGCCACCAGGGAACUCCUAGAAAAGAUUUUUUUUUUUAAACUUUAAAAAGCUCAUCAAUUUUCUGAUCCAGUAAUGCCCCCUAAUCAGGUCAUUUCACACAGUUAUUUCUUGUCAUCCUUCCCCCUGUUUUGGUCCCUGUAGAAUAGUUCCUUCUGGGAGUCUGGGGACAGGUGGUUAUAAACAGUGAAUGAAGUGCGAUAGGCAGGUUUAGCAUUUCCCCGUCUAGUGAGGAUCCAGGUCUGCAGGGAAGGGUUUACUUCCCCUUCUCCCAUCAAGACUUGAACCCUCACAAAUUUGGUUCCUUUUUUCUCUAAGGACUCAUAGAGGCAAUCUGCCCGGUGUCUGGGUGAGGGACUGAGGUCCGGAGAGGAGGUGAAGGUAAACCUGGAAUCUCAUUUCUAGGGCCUCAGUCUUUGAUAGUUUCCUCCUCAGACACCCAGUCCCCCCUGCCCAACUUCCCACUGGGAUGGAGAAUGCUUUUCCUAAGGACACGCAGAGAGGGAGAUAAGAGGCUGGUAUUUACAUACAUUUGCCUAAACAGGACUUGGGCAGGUGCCUGGGCGCUGGCCAGGAGGUGGGGGCAGUUCGCUGUAAACCUCAGGACCUGCGGGUUCACAUAACAGUUGUCUUUGGCCAAAAGGCAGGAAAUGAAGAGAUGCUGGCCAAGCACUGUUGAGCCUGGAGAGUUUGGAUUCCUUUACUUGGGCUGGAAUGACUCUUAGCUGUUUCGGGGUCCCAGACCCUUUUGAGAAGCUGAUACAAACAAUCCACUCUCUCCCCAGCAAAUGCACGAACACCGUGUUGACGGUCGCCGGGAUUAUAUGGACCCGGGAAGCUCUGGGUUGGGUGUCCCUAAUCUGUAUAUGUAUUUACCUUUUCUUUCUGUGACCCAGUCCCAGCUGUCUGCCUCUGCCUUCCCCCAGUCCCCUUGCCUGGGAGUCAGGAAAUUCCUCCCCAGGUAUAAGCCCUGCCAUUCCUGGCAUAGCUCUUCUCCUUCUUUCCUUCAAGAGCACAGGCAUCAGGCAGAGGCUUUGCACGCUUCUGCCUCUGCCGAGCUCCUUAUCUGCUCUCCUGCAGAAACCAGGCAAGUGGCUGUUAACAGAAGCCUGGUCUCCACUGCCCAAUUACUCCACUAAUUCCUGAGGGUGGGUGGGGGGGCAUCUGGGGGGGCAUCUUGGCAGCCGUGGAAGCCUGGCUAUAAGGGGACCAAUUCCCAUCUCUAGUGGAAACUUGGAAGCAAGGAGCAAGUUGCAAUUGCUAUAAUAAUAGUCAUAAUAAUAACAAUAAUAAUUUAUUUAGCAUAUCAUUAGAUGUGUAUUUACUGUCUUCCCUCUGCUUUUUUACAAGUGUCUCCUAAGGAAUUCUCACAACACCCAGGGGAAACAAUCAGAAGCUAAUUACCACCCUUCAGCUCCUUCUCCCCCUCCCAUCCACAAAGUCACCCUCUCAGAGAUGGAGCGUUUACAGAACACCCCCCCCACCAUGUUUUCACCUGCUCAACACGGUCCCCCCCAGUUCCAAUUCUCCUCUCCCAUUCCCAGCUUUUCCCACUCCCAUUAGGGAAGUUUCUCCAUAAUUAGGAGGAGGAAAGGCGAGGGAGGGAAGCAGCGGAAGCCCAGAGAGUUGUGGGUAUUAAUAUUGUUUCUUCGACAUCAUAAGGAUAUUUCGGAUAAUGUGGGCAGCACCGAAUUCUUACUUCUCUGAUUGCUCUUUGGGGGCAGAAACUGCCUGCACAGGGUUUAGAAGCUGACCAGGUUCGAAAGAGAUCUUGGGAUGCCCCGAUGCCAAAACAUCUGAAUCAAGUCUAAGAGGGGUGGCCCGUCCUGCACAUGUGACAGCUACAGCCAUGGCCUUCAGAUUGUUCAGGCCAGACCUGGGAGAUGCCAGGCCCCACAGAUCUAUUAGCCUCUUUUGACAAUGGAAAGAAAAGGAGGCAGGAAGGAAGGAAAGAAGGAAGGCAUAGGUAUAUGCGCGCGCGCGUGCGCGCGUGUGUGUGUGUGUGUAAAUGUAUCUGUACAUACAUAUUCAUAUACUUAUUUUUCCUGAGUGAAUAACCGUGACAAUGGCUAUACUUUUAAAGAUAUUCAUUUCUGGAGUUCCUGUCGUGGUGCAGCAGAAACGAAUCCAACUAGGAACCAUGAGGUUGCGGGUUUGAUUCCUGGCCUUGCUCAAUGGGUUAAGGAUCUGGCGUUGCCGUGAGCUGUGGUGUAGGUCGCAGACACGGCUCAGAGGAGGGCUUGCUGUGGCUGUGACACAGGCUGGCAGCUGUAGCUCCAAACAGACCCCUAGCCUGGGAACCUCCAUAUGCCACGGGUGUGGCCCUCGAAAGCAAAAAUAAAAUAAAAUAAAAAA
This 5584-nucleotide long non-coding RNA is filed under the name Sus scrofa (pig). RNAcentral describes it as "lncRNA (ENSSSCG00050002362.1)". The record is from RNAcentral. Lineage: Eukaryota; Metazoa; Chordata; Mammalia; Artiodactyla; Suidae.